Molecule: long non-coding RNA, 3394 nt
Filed under: Podarcis lilfordi (Lilford's wall lizard)
Lineage: Eukaryota; Metazoa; Chordata; Lepidosauria; Squamata; Lacertidae
Source: RNAcentral
GUGCAAACAUAGGAAACUGUUCUAUAUUGUAUCAGAACUUCUAGCUUGGUACAGUUGAUGGUGACUGACUGUAGCUCUCUCCAGGGUUUCAGGGAAAGGUUUUCCCAGCCUACCUGGGGAUGCUGCUGGGGAUUGAACCUGGGACCUUCUGCAUGCCAAGCAGCUGCACUUAACACUGAUCUACACCCUCCCUUCAAGCCAUGCCACCUAAUACAGUCAAAUCAACAACAUACAAUUUCCAGAAGUUGUUUUUUUUGUUUUUUUUUAAAACAGGCUCUCUCUCCCCACCAGGCAACUGCUCAUUCUAUACACAUUAUUUUGCUGUGGUGUUUCCUUUUGCGCAUAAGAUGCCAUGGCAGCAGACAUAGAAAUUGUCACUGUUCAAAACUUCCAUUUUUUCCUCUAGAUUGUUUUGAGCAUGACCUAAUGUUGGGACUCAAUGUAUUUAUUUUUUAGGGCACGUGCAAAGAGGGGUUGCAAAGAGGAGGCUGCUUCACCAGGAAAUACCAAUUUAACACUAUUACAGUUCAGUAGGAACCAGAUAUGUGGGGAAAACGAAAGGAGUUUCUGGAAGAGGAUUGGGUAAAACAACAGGCCCAGGAAGACUUGAGCCUCAGUUCUGGGUCUGCGAGAAUUCCCACACUCCAGCUAGCUGUAUUUUCCAAAAAAGGGUGCUGCUGCAGUAAGCCAACACUGCUUAAUAAGGAACAUGUGCAUGCCAGGUGCGCAGUUACGUUAUAAAACAUGGCCAUGGAUGCUAUUUAUUUAUAACACUGUUCCUAGGAACAGAGUGUGGAAAGGUGCAGCUCAGUGGUAAGAGUACUUGCUCCGCAUGCAGAAAGUCCCGGGUUCAGUCCCUGGCAUCUCCUGGUAUGGCUAGAAAUGUCCUGUGUCUGAAACUCUGGAGACUUGCUGCCAGUAUGUGUAGGCAAUACUGAACUAGGUGGCCAAUCAUCUGACUCAGAAUGUGGCAGCUUCUCACACCCUCAUUCUAAAAGCUUCAAGUGAGUCCCCAGCUGGAGUGGUAAUUUGAUAACAAAUUGUUCUUGUUGUAGAAAGACAAUUAGUGACCCACCACACUCAUUUAGGAAGUCUACCUGUAAUAGCUAACAGGCUCCCCUUACAAAGACAACGGCUUCUGAUUUUUGGAGAUGGGCAAUGCUGACGAGAUCCUUCUUUGUUGCCUUCAAUGUGUGAGCAAACUGUACGUUACCUGUCUGUGGCUGUAGGUAUGUGCUGGCAUGGAAACAGUGGGCGAAUGGCUGCCACUCAGUGACAGAGCAUCUGCUUUGGUUGCAAAAUCCUAGGCUCAAGCAGCAGCAUCUCAGUCACCAGCAACUAGGAGAUACCUAGCUGAAACCCUGCAAAACUAGGGACUUCAGUAGAAGGCAAAUCCCUAUGUUCCUAGUGCAAAAAUGCAGGACAUUACUCCUGAAGAAUGCACUUCCUAUUUGGUGAACACAGAUAUACUGAUCUUCUACAGGCAAAAUGGAAUGGCAGACUCUUUCUAAGCCAGGCCCAAACGCAUUUGAGGAGGAUGGAGUAGAUGUUAUUUGCACAUAAGGGGUAAAGUUGCCAGGAAGAGCUGCAGCCUAAGCAAACACACUGUUCUCUUAAAACUGAAGCACCUUUUGUUUUCAGUGUUCCUGAAUGCUUAUCUUUGGAACACAGUGGCCAAAAACGUCCCCUUUCAUGCUGAUUGGGUGGCUUGAAGGAUGCUGGAGAUAGUGACCCAGCUGCAGAAAUAGUAAGGGGUCUUUGACCCUCUGUGACCUCAGACCACUACACCACUGAGGUACAGGAUCGGUUUCAGCCAAGUAGCAGACUUGGGUAGACUUGUUGCUGGGUGUAAAGCUCAGCUGAGUCAGUGCCAGACUUUAGCCCAAGAGUGGGGGACCUUAUUGAGGCUGAAAAGUUUUCUGAGGGCCACAGGGCAGUAGUGGACGUGGUCAGAGGCAAAAGUGUGUGGAGCAAUGAAUGUCAAUUUUGCCUUUCUGCCAUUGGCUAGAUUCUGCUCUAUCAUUCAUCUGGACAAGCAAGAGGCAUUACUCAAGUUCAAGGACACAUUCUAGCCAAGCAAUAAUAAUCUAGGUGGAAAGCAGGGGCACCGAGGGUUCUUGGCCCUGGGGAGAGAGCUAAAGGCCAGAGGCAAAGGCCUACAUUUUGCCUGAGGUUCCCCACCCAUUCAGCCCACUGAACUGUUCAACAUCCACCGGUAAGUUGAGAUAACUAAUGGCAGCUUAAUUCCUCUCUAGAAGCGGCGAUGAAGUACUGAAGGCCUCUCUCUCCUAAAGCAGGGAGGGGGAAAUCUUAGGAAACAGAGCAAGGAUGUUCCCCAGGAAGGAUGACAAGAUUUAUCCACAGCACAGGAGGAAAUGUAGUUAUUUACCCGAAUGCUGCAUGUGUGCAUGAGGGGUGGGGGUGGGGUGGGGGAGGCAAAUGAGCCAUUUUACUUUCCAGGAAAGCCUUAUGCAGAUGACGAAAAGUAGCAGAACCUUAUUUUGUAGGGCCAGUGGGGAUAUAUAUUUUAAUUACGUGUAUAGAAAGAAAAAAGUCUUACCUCAGAGUUAAGCGAUGGGAAAAGUCCUCCAUGAAGGCUUUUUUUCAGACAGGGUAACUUCCCAACUGUGUUCACGUCUCACUCGGAAGUUAACACAUUUAACCCAGAUGGAGCAAGGAAACCGCUGCACAAAUUUGGAGGGACGUCAUCCUGCCUCUGCGCCGCAUCCUGGACUGUAGCAACGCGCGUUGACUGGUGAAAUUGUCCCCACCGUCGGUUUGGGCACAAUGGAGGCCUAGAUGGGGGUAGGGGGAAGGCAACCUAGUGCUACCCCAUCAGAGGGUGCAAGCUUUCACAUCACACAACCCUCCCUCUAGUAGCCACAUGCGUCAUGUUGCUGCACAGUUGAGACUGCACCAGGUAACUGAACGUCCUUUGGCUUUUAAAAAACUGGAUGGUUAAACCAAAUUGAGGGUUGGGGGGAGGGAGAAGAAUACUACUAAAUCCAGCAGAGACAGUGAAAAGCAAAUCCAGUUCCACACAAACACACACAUAUAUAUACAUAUAAAUAUUAUAUAUAUAUACAUACAUAUAUAUAUAUAUAUAGCAUUCCUUUAAAAAGGAAUCUAGACACUGUAAUGGCAAUACUUUUUUUAAAGCAAGACAGAUUUGUAAUAUUUGUUGACCGUAUGACGGUGGUCUACCUUGUAAAAAAUAAACUGAAUUUCUCUCAGCUGUGUACUUCUGUAACACAAGCCUUUGUGAACCUUGCAUGUCGCUAAAGCUAUUGUCAUUCAUGAAAACUUUACUGUGUCAACUGGGAAAAACUGAUUUGAGCCUCCCUUCUUCCUAGUGUUCUGGAACUGGGAACAGUUAUGUUUAAAAGCAAGUGAG